UCUGGAAUGGACGGUCGACCUAGCAACGACUAGACGGCCUGGCAGGACCAGGAGACUUAAACGGCACCAAAAGUGGCCCCAAACACCCAGCUCACUUUGAUGCCCGAUUUUGCUAGGGUUUUUCAUAUUUCUUCUCCCAAUUCCAAAUUUUGUUCUCAUGGGAGAUUUUGUAGCUAGAAGAUCAAUUUUGGAGCAUUUUAAGAUAAUUUUGAGGUGAUUUGAGGAGUCUCAUGGUGGGUUUUAUCUUGGAACCUUCAAUUUCUUGAGGAGACUUGGGUGGUGAUUUGGAGAAAGCUUUUAGAAGAGUUCUUGUUUGUUGGACCUCAAGUCUCCAUUUUGGAAACUAAAGAUUUGGGUUUAAAACCUAGGUUUAACCUAACCUAGCAAUGUGAACGAGCUACAUCUUGGUUGGGAGAUCUCAAGGUAAAGAACCGGAAAAGGUUGAACUUGGUGACUCUUCAAGCGAAAGACACAAUAGAGUUGAACUUGUUAUCUCAUUUGACUAUAGACUGGAUUUGGUUGAUGUCAAUCGUUACUUACCUGCAAGUGAUGCUCAUAUAAUAUUAGAUUGUGGC
This is a long non-coding RNA of Cynara cardunculus var. scolymus (artichoke), 575 nucleotides long. RefSeq lists it as uncharacterized. The record is from RefSeq and is a predicted model, not a curated record. NCBI's taxonomy places the organism in Eukaryota, Viridiplantae, Streptophyta, Magnoliopsida, Asterales, Asteraceae. The transcript is spliced from 3 exons.